This 28-nucleotide small RNA is filed under the name Bombyx mori (domestic silkworm). RNAcentral describes it as "ovarian small RNA-37333". Lineage: Eukaryota; Metazoa; Arthropoda; Insecta; Lepidoptera; Bombycidae. The record is from RNAcentral.
UUCCUGCUCAAAAGAAGCAGUAGGUUGA